AGUGAACGCUGGCGGCGUGCUUAACACAUGCAAGUCGAACGAUGAUGCUCUAGCUUGCUAGAGCGGAUUAGUGGCGCACGGGUGAGUAAUGUAUAGCUGAUGUGCCCCUUAGAGGGGGAUAACAGUUGGAAACGACUGCUAAUACCCCAUACUCCUUCUUCCUAUAAGGGAAGUUGGGAAAGUUUUUUCGCUAAGGGAUCGGGCUAUAUGGUAUCAGCUUGUUGGUGAGGUAAUGGCUCACCAAGGCUAUGACGCCUAUCUGGUCUGAGAGGAUGAUCAGACACACUGGAACUGAGCCACGGUCCAGACGCCUACGGGAGGCAGCAGUGGGGAAUAUUACACAAUGGAGGAAACUCUGAUGUAGCAACGCCGCGUGGAGGAUGACACAUUUCGGUGCGUAAACUCCUUUUAUGUGAGAAGAUAAUGACGGUAUCACAUGAAUAAGCACCGGCUAACUCCGUGCCAGCCGCCGCCGUAA
Molecule: ribosomal RNA, 478 nt
Filed under: uncultured bacterium
Lineage: Bacteria
Description: partial 16S ribosomal RNA
Rfam family: Bacterial small subunit ribosomal RNA
Source: RNAcentral